GACGAACGCUGGCGGCGUGCUUAACACAUGCAAGUCGAACGGACAGGCCCUGCUUUUGUGGGGUGCUCGAGUGGCGAACGGGUGAGUAACACGUGAGUAACCUGCCCUUGACUUUGUGAUAACUUCAGGAAACUGGGGCUCAUACCGGAUAUGAGCUCCUGCUGCAUGGUGGGGGUUGGAAAGUUUCGGCGGUUGGGGAUGGACUCGCGGCUUAUCAGCUUGUUGGUGGGGUAGUGGCUUACCAAGGCUUUGACGGGUAGCCGGCCUGAGAGGGUGACCGGCCACAUUGGGACUGAGAGACGGCCCAGACGCCUACGGGAGGCAGCAGUGGGGAAUAUUGCACAAUGGGCGGAAGCCUGAUGCAGCAACGCCGCGUGCGGGAUGACGGCCUUCGGGUUGUAAACCGCUUUCGCAUGUGACGAAGCGUGAGUGACGGUAAUGGGUAAAGAAGCAACGGCUAACUACGUG
This 468-nucleotide ribosomal RNA is filed under the name uncultured bacterium. Its description in RNAcentral is "partial 16S ribosomal RNA". It matches the Rfam family "Bacterial small subunit ribosomal RNA", at positions 28 to 507 of the family's 1533-position model. The record is from RNAcentral.